GGCGAUGAUGCAUAGCCGAGUUGAGAGACUGAUCGGCCACAUUGGGACUGAGACACGGCCCAAACUCCUACGGGAGGCAGCAGUAGGGAAUCUUCCGACCAAUGGACGCAAGUCUGAUGGAGCAACGCCGCGUGAGUGAAGAAGGGUUUCGGCUACGUAAAGCUCUGUUGUUGGUGAAGAAGGACAGGGGGUAGUAACUGACCUUUGUUUGACGGUAAUCAAUUAGAAAGUCACGGCUAACUACGUGCCAGCAGCCGCGGUAAAU
This 265-nucleotide ribosomal RNA is filed under the name uncultured Lactobacillus sp. Its description in RNAcentral is "partial 16S ribosomal RNA". It matches the Rfam family "Bacterial small subunit ribosomal RNA", at positions 272 to 525 of the family's 1533-position model. Lineage: Bacteria; Bacillati; Bacillota; Bacilli; Lactobacillales; Lactobacillaceae. The record is from RNAcentral.